RNAcentral lists this ribosomal RNA (465 nucleotides) under Vreelandella stevensii. RNAcentral describes it as "partial 16S ribosomal RNA". It matches the Rfam family "Bacterial small subunit ribosomal RNA", at positions 338 to 795 of the family's 1533-position model. The record is from RNAcentral. Lineage: Bacteria; Pseudomonadati; Pseudomonadota; Gammaproteobacteria; Oceanospirillales; Halomonadaceae.
CCUACGGGGGGCUGCAGUGGGGAAUAUUGGACAAUGGGGGGAACCCUGAUCCAGCCAUGCCGCGUGUGUGAAGAAGGCCCUCGGGUUGUAAAGCACUUUCAGUGAGGAAGAACGCCUGGUGGUUAAUACCCAUCAGGAAAGACAUCACUCACAGAAGAAGCACCGACUAACUCCGUGCCAGCAGCCGCGGUAAUACGGAGGGUGCGAGCGUUAAUCGGAAUUACUGGGCGUAAAGCGCGCGUAGGUGGCUUGAUAAGCCGGUUGUGAAAGCCCCGGGCUCAACCUGGGAACGGCAUCCGGAACUGUCAAGCUAGAGUGCAGGAGAGGAAGGUAGAAUUCCCGGUGUAGCGGUGAAAUGCGUAGAGAUCGGGAGGAAUACCAGUGGCGAAGGCGGCCUUCUGGACUGACACUGACACUGAGGUGCGAAAGCGUGGGUAGCAAACAGGAUUAGAUACCCGAGUAGUC